RNAcentral lists this unclassified non-coding RNA (378 nucleotides) under uncultured Oligoflexales bacterium. RNAcentral's name for it is "contains 16S-23S intergenic spacer region". Lineage: Bacteria; Pseudomonadati; Bdellovibrionota; Oligoflexia; Oligoflexales. The record is from RNAcentral.
UCCGGUUUAACACCGGCGGUCUCCUUAGAGUGCCCAACUAAAUGGUGGCAACUAGGGAUAAGGGUUGCGCUCGUUAAGGGACUUAACCCGACAUCUCACGAUACGAGCUGACGACAGCCAUGCAGCACCUGAACCGUAGGUCCCCGAAGGGAAAGUCCUAUCUCUAGGAUUGUCCUACGUUGUCUAACCCAGGUAAGGUUCUUCGCGUUGCAUCGAAUUAAACCACAUGCUCCACCGCUUGUGCGGGCCCCCGUCAAUUCCUUUGAGUUUUAAUCUUGCGACCGUACUUCCCAGGCGGGGUACUUAAUGCGUUAGCUGCGGCACUGCAGGGGUCAAUUCCUGCAACACCUAGUACCCAUCGUUUACGGCGUGGACUAC